Odobenus rosmarus divergens (Pacific walrus) is the source of this 809-nucleotide RNA transcript. It is a transcript of the gene named BBSome interacting protein 1, with no coding region annotated. NCBI's taxonomy places the organism in Eukaryota, Metazoa, Chordata, Mammalia, Carnivora, Odobenidae. The transcript is spliced from 4 exons. The record is from RefSeq and is a predicted model, not a curated record.
CCACUGGGUGCCGCUGGCAAGCGGAGCCACAGAGUAAGCCUCCAGCAGGGUAGAGUGACAACUCGCAAUCGGAAGUUACUGUUGAAGCUAAGGCAGCCAUAACUGAUAAUGGCAGGGAGUUUCCUGGCCUCCCGUCUCCAGUGUGACGUAGUUUUCCCUUCGCCCAAAUCUCACCGUUGCCCUGGGCAACAGUCGAGCCGUCUGGGAAGGUAAAUCUGUAAGUAGGCCCGAAAAAGGACCAAAGGUGACCAGACAUCCCAGUUUCUUCUGUAGGCUUGAGUCAAGAACUUUAAGUCAUCUUGGUAAUACUGGGUUGGAUGCCUAACGUUGCCGGGAAAAAGACCGGGAGAACUUUCAGGAAAAAACUUAGCUGUAUCCAACAAUUCAGAUAUGGCGGAAGUGAAGUCAAUGUUUCGGGAAGUUCUUCCAAAACAAGGGCAGUUGUCAGUGGAAGAUAUAACCACAAUGGUGCUGUGUAAACCCAAACUUUUGCCCUUAAAAUCUCUGACUCUGGAAAAACUGGAGAAAAUGCAGCAAGCAGCCCAGGAUACGAUUCGCCAACAAGAAAUGGCAGAAAAGGAACAACAGCAAAUAACUCACUGAAUGGUAACUUUGCAGUUCUACAGAAUACCCUGCCUUACUAUUAACAAUAGGCUAGACAAUAACUUGCAUCUGUAUACUGAAGAUGGUGUGUGUUAAUAAAACUGAUAGUGCUUAUAAAAUAAAAAUACCCAAAACUAGUGAAACCUGUGAAUUUAGACACACUCUGGUUUGUAUUGAACAUGAGCAAUUAAAAAACUGAACCCAAA